AAUAGUGAAACAAAUUAGCAGAAGGGCCACCAAGAGAGUACACCCAACCCUAAUUCACAGAUGUCUCAGUUUAUCAGUUUUCUGUCAAUCAUUAAAACAAGAAGGAUGAAACAUACAAUUAUACACGAGGAGACAGAACUCCUAAUUCUUUCAUCUUAGCUGAAGCGUAAGAGUUUUAAUUGCUUGGAAAAAUAAGAUUUUUGUUUU
RNAcentral lists this long non-coding RNA (207 nucleotides) under Chinchilla lanigera (long-tailed chinchilla). RNAcentral's name for it is "Embryonic ventral forebrain RNA 1 conserved region 2 (ENSCLAG00000020210.1)". It matches the Rfam family "Embryonic ventral forebrain RNA 1 conserved region 2". Rfam says of the family: Evf-1 (Embryonic ventral forebrain-1) is a developmentally-regulated long non-coding RNA. In rats, it is expressed in neurons in the subventricular zone of the developing forebrain. Lineage: Eukaryota; Metazoa; Chordata; Mammalia; Rodentia; Chinchillidae. The record is from RNAcentral.